UUGAGCUGUGGACAGACCACCAUGCGCCUGGUCAGAGGCUCACACUGAAGGCUUCUCAGGCUCUCUCCUGUGACUUGCAUUUGGGGGCCCCACUCAUGGUCCUUCCACCAUACAGCCAGGAUGGCUGGGUCCAACCAGGGGUUGCCCCCCUCAGAGUCUCAGGUCUUGGUUCUCAACAGGGGUGUCUCUGCCAGCCUGCCAUGCUUUGGGAGACCCAGCUAACCACAGGACUUCCUCCCAACUGUAAGUGACACUCAGGCCUCAGGUCCAACGGACUUGAGAAAACAGCCCAGAAACUAAUUCCCAGAGUGCUCUGCACAGCCGGACCGCCUGCUGACCCUCAGGGUGAGAGGGCACCAGUAGCCGCCCCUCAGCCUCCACGCUGCCCCAAGCUGUGGGAACCACUGACCUGGCAGGAGCCGUUAGGGGACAGGGUCCAUGACAACCAGCUCCAUCCAACCUCCUCCCCUCGAAUUCCAGGCUUCAGGGGCUAGAAGCGUGCCUGCCCUGCCCAGACGCCCCCACCUUCCUCGGGAAGACUCUGCUGCAUCCUGUCCCCCUCCCUGGAUUCCAGGUGCUGCCUUCACUCUGGGGUAGAAACUGGCCACUCUCGGGGCUCUCAGCUGCAUCAUACUCCCAUCAGCAGGUGACACAGAUACAGGAUCAAUCACCAUGAAGCAAGAACUAGGCCUCAAGAUGCUUCUGGUCAUCCCAUAUGUUUGCAGUUCAAAGCCAUCCUGGGACCCCAGGCGGGACAAGGGCAGGCCAGGGAACUUGAGAGGGCCAUGUUAGGGCAACCAGUCUCAGCUGUUCCUAGUCCUUCUGCUACAAAGCCUGGCCAAGAAUUAAAGCACUGUGAACUCCAA
This is a long non-coding RNA of Myotis lucifugus (little brown bat), 866 nucleotides long. RefSeq lists it as uncharacterized. The transcript is spliced from 2 exons. The record is from RefSeq and is a predicted model, not a curated record. Lineage: Eukaryota; Metazoa; Chordata; Mammalia; Chiroptera; Vespertilionidae.